AUGCAAUCCGGGCCCUCCGUGUCUCCCUCCGUGUCUCUGCUGGUCUCUGGAGACUCCUCCGCUCUGCUCUGCCUGCUCAGCUCUUACUCUCCAAAGGGGGCGACGGUGAGCUGGACGCUGGACGGGUCAGAGGUCACCGAGGGGAUUCAGACCAGCGCAGAGAGCGAGCGGGACGGUCUCUACAGUCGCAGCAGCGUCCUGAGCCUCAGCAAAGCACGCUGGGAAGGCGCAGGGCACUUGGUCUGCAGAGGAACACAUGCCGGAGCUGCUCACGAGGCCCCGUUCCUCAAGAGCUCCGACUGCUGA
Molecule: non-coding RNA, 306 nt
Organism: Pimephales promelas (fathead minnow)
Lineage: Eukaryota; Metazoa; Chordata; Actinopteri; Cypriniformes; Leuciscidae
Source: the annotation of a RefSeq genome assembly